Molecule: ribosomal RNA, 221 nt
Filed under: uncultured bacterium
Lineage: Bacteria
Description: partial 16S ribosomal RNA
Rfam family: Bacterial small subunit ribosomal RNA
Source: RNAcentral
AGUAAUGUCUGGGAGACUGCCUGAUGGAGGGGGAUAACUACUGGAAACGGUAGCUAAUACCGCAUAAUGUCGCAAGACCAAAGAGGGGACCUUCGGGCCUCUUGCCAUCGGAUGUGCCCAGAUGGGAUUAGCUAGUAGGUGGGGUAACGGCUCACCUAGGCGACGAUCCCUAGCUGGUCUGAGAGGAUGACCAGCCACACUGGAACUGAGACACGGUCCAG